UUAACCUGAUACACCACUUAACCUUUUGUUUAUGGCUCCUCAGAAGGACUGUGAAAACAGAAUAAUGAGGACAUCAGCGGCAAUUAAUUAAGUUAGAAAAUACCUACUAUAAAUACCGUCUCAGCAGAUAAACCAGGACUAGUAAAGCAAAGUUCGAGCUAGUGCGAUUGCUCAGGAUGCUGAUCAGAACUACGACUAUGCCAGUAACAGCGUGGUGCUUCACUUGGAGCCAGGAGACGAAGUUUACAUUAAAUUAGAUGGAGGAAAAGCACAUGGAGGAAACAACAACAAAUACAGCACAUUUUCUGGAUUUAUUAUUUAUGCUGACUGAUAAUGAGUAAAAAGACCCACCAAACCAGUCCAAAAAUGAAGCCUGCUCUUCUAAGUGAUGGAUUUGCGUGGCAAAAGUCAAUGAAACAAGUACCCCAGCAGAGAGCGACCACCAAACACCUCAGUAGCGGGGGAAAAAAGUCAAAUGCUACCUGAUUCACAUCUGUACAACACAGAGAAAUCUUAUGUUAAAAAAAUGACAAAACAAGCUCAACAGGUGUGCGAUCCACUACCGCCAAAGCAAAUACUUCCUCAUUGUUAGUGUCCAUGUGAAUGAAGUUCUACAUAGAUCAGAUUUUUAUAGGAAAAAAGCCCACCUAAGGACGCUGAGUUAUUUCUUCAGUGUAUAUGAUACUUUGAUGUGUUAUGAUCUUGCUGCUUUAUCCAUACUUCAGCUUUGGUUCUUGUGACUUACUUGCUAACAAUGAUGCUUGGAGUCCACUGAUAGUGUGGUGAGGAAUGAUUUUACAAUAAAAGGAAGAGGUAAUCAAAA
Molecule: RNA transcript, 823 nt
Organism: Manacus vitellinus (golden-collared manakin)
Lineage: Eukaryota; Metazoa; Chordata; Aves; Passeriformes; Pipridae
Exons: 2
Source: RefSeq, a predicted model, not a curated record